CAGUAGCCACGGUAAUACAGAGGGUGCGAGCGUUAAUCGGAUUUACUGGGCGUAAAGCGUGCGUAGGCGGCUUUUUAAGUCGGAUGUGAAAUCCCUGAGCUUAACUUAGGAAUUGCAUUCGAUACUGGGAAGCUAGAGUAUGGGAGAGGAUGGUAGAAUUCCAGGUGUAGCGGUGAAAUGCGUAGAGAUCUGGAGGAAUACCGAUGGCGAAGGCAGCCAUCUGGCCUAAUACUGACGCUGAGGUACGAAAGCAUGGGGAGCAAACAGGAUUAGAUACCCGCGUAGUCCCUGUCUCUUAUAC
Molecule: ribosomal RNA, 301 nt
Filed under: uncultured bacterium
Lineage: Bacteria
Description: partial 16S ribosomal RNA
Rfam family: Bacterial small subunit ribosomal RNA
Source: RNAcentral